This 626-nucleotide ribosomal RNA is filed under the name uncultured bacterium. RNAcentral describes it as "bacterial SSU rRNA". It matches the Rfam family "Bacterial small subunit ribosomal RNA", at positions 163 to 807 of the family's 1533-position model. The record is from RNAcentral.
CUAAUACCGCAUAAGCGCACGAGGAGACAUCUCCUAGUGUGAAAAACUCCGGUGGUACAGGAUGGGCCCGCGUCUGAUUAGCUGGUUGGCAGGGUAACGGCCUACCAAGGCAACGAUCAGUAGCCGGUCUGAGAGGAUGAACGGCCACAUUGGAACUGAGACACGGUCCAAACUCCUACGGGAGGCAGCAGUGGGGAAUAUUGCACAAUGGGGGAAACCCUGAUGCAGCAACGCCGCGUGAGUGAAGAAGUAUUUCGGUAUGUAAAGCUCUAUCAGCAGGGAAGAUAAUGACGGUACCUGACUAAGAAGCUCCGGCUAAAUACGUGCCAGCAGCCGCGGUAAUACGUAUGGAGCAAGCGUUAUCCGGAUUUACUGGGUGUAAAGGGUGCGUAGGUGGCAGUGCAAGUCAGAUGUGAAAGGCCGGGGCUCAACCCCGGAGCUGCAUUUGAAACUGCUCGGCUAGAGUACAGGAGAGGCAGGCGGAAUUCCUAGUGUAGCGGUGAAAUGCGUAGAUAUUAGGAGGAACACCAGUGGCGAAGGCGGCCUGCUGGACUGUUACUGACACUGAGGCACGAAAGCGUGGGGAGCAAACAGGAUUAGAUACCCUGGUAGUCCACGCCGUAAAC